Molecule: ribosomal RNA, 508 nt
Filed under: uncultured bacterium
Lineage: Bacteria
Description: partial 16S ribosomal RNA
Rfam family: Bacterial small subunit ribosomal RNA
Source: RNAcentral
GACGAACGCUGGCGGCGUGCCUAAUACAUGCAAGUCGAACGCUUCUUUCCUCCCGAGUGCUUGCCCUCAAUUGGAAAGAGGAGUGGCGGACGGGUGAGUAACACGUGGGUAACCUACCCAUCAGAGGGGGAUAACACUUGGAAACAGGUGCUAAUACCGCAUAACAGUUUAUGCCGCAUGGCAUAAGAGUGAAAGGCGCUUUCGGGUGUCGUUGAUGGAUGGACCCGCGGUGCAUUAGCUAGUUGGUGAGGUAACGGCUCACCAAGGCCACGAUGCAUAGCCGACCUGAGAGGGUGAUCGGCCACACUGGGACUGAGACACGGCCCAGACUCCUACGGGAGGCAGCAGUAGGGAAUCUUCGGCAAUGGACGAAAGUCUGACCGAGCAACGCUGCGUGAGUGAAGAAGGUUUUCGGAUCGUAAAACUCUGUUGUUAGAGAAGAACAAGGACGUUAGUAACUGAACGUCCCCUGACGGUAUCUAACCAGAAAGCCACGGCUAACUACGUG